This 268-nucleotide long non-coding RNA is filed under the name Lathyrus oleraceus (garden pea). Its description in RNAcentral is "Pisum sativum (pea) long non-coding RNA (PSAT_LNC028226)". The record is from RNAcentral. Lineage: Eukaryota; Viridiplantae; Streptophyta; Magnoliopsida; Fabales; Fabaceae.
UAUAAUAAAAAAUAUAUUUUUAAAAUAUUGUGAAAUAAAAUUAAUAAAUAAAAUAAUUUAUCAUUAAAAGUGAAAUAAAAAUAAAUUAUAACCAUAUCCAUAUCCAUCAAAUUAAAAAUUAUUAAAGAUGAAAUAAAAGUAAAGUUUAAAAAUACAUAUUAAAAAUUUCAAGCCAUAAAUUAUUCAAAUAUUUGUGCUCGCUCAUUUAUAAUGCGCAUUGCUUCCUCAUACUUUGUCGUUUUCCUCCUCAAUUCUUCCUCCAUCUCUG